This 229-nucleotide ribosomal RNA is filed under the name uncultured bacterium. Its description in RNAcentral is "partial 16S ribosomal RNA". It matches the Rfam family "Bacterial small subunit ribosomal RNA", at positions 568 to 796 of the family's 1533-position model. The record is from RNAcentral.
AGUGUAGGCGGCUACUUAAGUCGGAUGUGAAAGCCCCGGGCUCAACCUGGGAAUUGCAUUCGAAACUGGGUAGCUAGAGUUUGGUAGAGGUAAGUGGAAUUCCGGGUGUAGCGGUGAAAUGCGUAGAUAUCCGGAGGAACAUCAGUGGCGAAGGCGGCUUACUGGACCAAAACUGACGCUGAGGCUCGAAAGCGUGGGGAGCAAACAGGAUUAGGUACCCUGGUAGUCC